Molecule: ribosomal RNA, 440 nt
Filed under: uncultured bacterium
Lineage: Bacteria
Description: partial 16S ribosomal RNA
Rfam family: Bacterial small subunit ribosomal RNA
Source: RNAcentral
CCUACGGGAUGCAGCAGUGGGGAAUAUUGCACAAUGGGGGAAACCCUGAUGCAGCAACGCCGCGUGAGUGAAGAAGUAUUUCGGUAUGUAAAGCUCUAUCAGCAGGGAAGAGAAUGACGGUACCUGACUAAGAAGCCCCGGCUAACUACGUGCCAGCAGCCGCGGUAAUACGUAGGGGGCGAGCGUUAUCCGGAUUUACUGGGUGUAAAGGGAGCGUAGACGGUUCUGCAAGUCUGAAGUGAAAGCCCGGGGCUUAACCGCGGAACGGCUUUGGAAACUGUGGAACUUGAGUGCUGGAGAGGCAAGCGGAAUUCCUAGUUUAGCGGUGAAAUGCGGAGAUAUUAGGAGGAACACCAGUGGCGAAGGCGGCUUGCUUGACAGUAACUGACGUUGAGGCUCGAAAGCGUGGGGAGCAAACAGGAUUAGAUACCCGAGUAGUC